ACUUAAAUAGCUUAUUAUUAGAGUAUGGUAUUGAAGAUACUAAGGAGAUUAUUUAAUCUUUAAGUA
RNAcentral lists this transfer RNA (66 nucleotides) under Centrocolumna ericea. RNAcentral's name for it is "tRNA-Phe". Lineage: Eukaryota; Metazoa; Arthropoda; Insecta; Blattodea; Blattellidae. The record is from RNAcentral.